Molecule: long non-coding RNA, 3306 nt
Filed under: Musa acuminata (dwarf banana)
Lineage: Eukaryota; Viridiplantae; Streptophyta; Magnoliopsida; Zingiberales; Musaceae
Description: long non-coding RNA (MACU_LNC006572)
Source: RNAcentral
AUAUAUCUUGCACCCGACUUUACAACAAGAGACUAACUACAUUCCAUUUGAAAUAGGCUAAAUUCCAGAGAAAAAGAAUAAAACAGUCUGCAGCAAAAUUUGAAGACUCCCAGUUGAGUCAGCAGGUGCAGUAUUGCAGUCGACAAGCAACAAUCAAUCAUGAAGUGAAAACUCAUUAGCAUUUGUUAGCUUUGUGGCUCGUUACAAAAUUAGAAACAAGAAUGGUGGCACCCUUUUUCCUCUUCCUCCUGCAAGCAAAACUAGUUGUGGAUGUACCUUCUUCACAUCUCUUUGUUUCAUGUGUUACCCAUUUUUGUAAACAACAGGGCAAGAUAAGUAGUUUGCGUUAAAAAGUAAAAAACAAAGAACCACUCUUCAAUUUUCUCCAUUUGCUAUUCUUCCCACUUCCCACUUCCCACUUCCCACUUCCCACUUCCCACCUCAGGAGGUCUCUAACAAUUAAUUCCUGCACAAGAAAAAAAAAAAUUUGCUAGAAGCUGCAAAAGAGACAAAUCAGUAAUUUUCCUGUCAGCAUACCAUACCAUACCAUACAUGGAUCUGAUACAUUCUCCAUCAAGGUUAUAUUUCUAGCCUGCUUGAUAAAUCCAAUAUCUAAUUCCGACUUUAUUAUUCCAAGAAACGAUGACCAGAUACCUACUAUAGCAUUAUUGCACAAUGAUAUACUUAUGGGGGGCUACAAGUAUCCUUUGGUUAGCAAUUUUUUAUACGACAGACAAAGAACCUUGUGUGUGGUAUUUGGAAAAGGCUCCCUCUUAUGGUGCCAUUGUCAUUACGAUUAGGAAAAAAAUUGUGAUUUCUAGGAUUUGAUCUUGAGGUGACGAGUAUUAUUAGCCAACUUUAGUAGGAUCGAUCUAACUAGGAUCCACGUGUUAGGCCACGAUUGGUGUGAAAUAUUCACGGUAUCAUAUCCCCCAAACAUUUGCAUUUCGAGAUGCAAAACUUGCCAUGUCAAAUGCAAUCUUUCGAUCAUACUAUUGUGGCCUACUUGUGAGAGCUUAGGCACAUGUCACUUGCACUUGGCCGAAAUUGGGUGUGGCUUAGUUACGAGAAAAGAUGCCUAGUAGGAAGACGAGGGUAGUGUAAGGGAUUCUUCAAUAAGAAAUGACUAUUGAGAUAUUGACAAUGGAUUCUCGUAAAUAUUCUAUGAGACUCUUUCAUGUCAUCCAUCAUAUUCAACUAGAAAGAGAUUCUUCAAUGCUCAUAGUUGAUCGAUCUUGUAUGUAUUCUGCGAGACUCUUUCAUGUCAUCCAUCAUAUUCAACUAGAAAGUGUACAUGACAUUGGAUUCAUCAAUGCUCAUAGUUGAUCGAUCUUGUAAGUAUUCUGCGAGACUCUUUCAUGUCAUCCAUCAUAUUCAACUAGAAAGUGUACCUGACAUUAGAUUCUUCAAUGCUCAUAGUUGAUCGAUCUUGUAUGUAUUCUGCGAGACUCUUUCAUGUCAUCCAUCAUAUUCAACUAGAAAGUGUACAUGACAUUGGAUUCAUCAAUUGUCAUAGUUGAUCGAUCUUGUAAGUAUUCUGCGAGACUCUUUCAUGUCAUCCAUCAUAUUCAACUAGAAAGUGUACCUGACAUUAGAUUCUUCAAUGCUCAUAGUUGAUCGAUCUUGUAAGUAUUCUGUGAGACUCUUUCAUGUCAUCCAUCAUAUUCAACUAGAAAGUGUACAUGACAUUGGAUUCAUCAAUGCUCAUAGUUGAUCGAUCUUGUAAGUAUUUUGCGAGACUCUUUCAUGUCAUCCAUCAUAUUCAACUAGAAAGUGUACCUGACAUUAGAUUCUUCAAUGCUCAUAGUUGAUCGAUCUUGUAUGUAUUCUGCGAGACUCUUUCAUGUCAUCCAUCAUAUUCAACUCUCAUAGUUGAUCGAUCUUGUAAGUAUUCUGAGAGACUCUUUCAUGUCAUCCAUCAUAUUCAACUAGAAAGUGUACCAACCCAUUACAAAUCACACCCAUUGCUCCUCUUGUACAACAACUAGUUGAUGUUUCUCUGAUACAAUGUCCUUAGUAUGUAUUUCGGAAAAAAAAGACAACUUUGAACCAUAGGAAAUGCCCUAUUUUGGUGGGGAUCUAGCUGGACUAGAAACCAAUUGUUAGGACACAAAUUGUGUGUAUUCACCAUAUCAAAAAUCAAAAGGGCAAAAAUAAAAGGAUGACAAUUCAAAGCAAGCAUAAAAAAUUCUCUUGUCCAUCAAGGUCUCAUUAUCUAUCAUUUGUUAAUACCUUCUCAUGUUAUGGAUACUGCUGCAAUAAACACCACAACAUGUGACUAUAGAAUUAGAGAAUCAUUGUACCAAUUACAUGUUUCAUCAUUUAGGGUACUAUAUUAGUGUGUGCUUUGGGAAUUAUGAUUACAAUUACAGAUAUAUAAGACAGACAAAAAAAAGUUAAAAGGACAUGUUUUUAACUAAGAACCAAAAUGUUUAAAGGCAAGAAUUGAACACUAACCGUCAAUGAUUAUAAUUCUGAUUAUAAUAAGUUGAGCCCAAUUAUCAAAAAAGCCUCCUUUCUUGAUGACCAAUGAUUGAUUAUAAUUCUGAUGGGAGGAACACAAACCACCUCACCCCAACAAACCAUUAGAUAAACAAACAAAUAAAUAAAUAACAAGAAAAACACAUAUUUCAGUGAAAUAAUAUCAAAAGGAUGUCUACGAAUAACGGGUCAUGCUUAAUAUAUGCUAAACUUUGCUUCUUUUUCGUAUGACUUUAAGCAAAGAAAAUUCUCUAGAAAUUGAUGCAACAUCUGUUGUGAUGCGGCUAAAUAAUUAAGGCGAGCCUAGAUCAGAGCAAUUUAGGAAUGAUUAGAUGAAAAUUAAAGGGCGACAAUGAAUAAUCUUAGCCACCUCAACUAGAAGUUAGUUCUGUUGUAGAGCUAAUGGAAGAUUCAAAGUAAAGCAGAUCAUAUGUUGUAAAAGUAAGAACUAACUAACUACGUAGUUAAAAUACAUAAACUAGUGCAACCAAAGUAUGGAUGAAAGAUAUGAAUAAGAAAUUCUAUGUAGUCAUAAUUAUCAGCAAAGACGAAAAAAAAAUAAAAAAAUCAACCAGAAACAAGGACGUAAAUACUACAGGCAUGAGUUCCACAUAUAAAGCUAGUAAGAACUUGAACAUAUGAAAGAUCUCGAAAAUUGACAACAGUUACAACCUUCAGUUAUAAUUCUAUCGAAAGACGAUUUGAAUACUUGGCUAACGCUAAUACGAAGGCCAGCCAGUUUAUCAACAAAAAUCUGAGGACACACAUUGAACAUGGUAACAAGAUUCAAAAGCAUCGGAAAGUUAAAAGAUUGAAGGUCGUGUG